RNAcentral lists this ribosomal RNA (2316 nucleotides) under Triticum aestivum (bread wheat). RNAcentral's name for it is "partial small subunit ribosomal RNA". Lineage: Eukaryota; Viridiplantae; Streptophyta; Magnoliopsida; Poales; Poaceae. The record is from RNAcentral.
AUGUCGGAUGAUGAGAUGGAUGACGAAGCAAGUGAAGUGGCAGCAUUGGAGCACAUAAUGAGUGAUGCAAGUGUAGAUCCUAUCAAGCUAUCCUAUGGUCUUUUGAGGUCCAUUACAGACAAUUUUUCUAAUGAAAUUGGUGGUGGUGGGUUUGGAGUUGUUUACCAGGGAGUUCUACGAAAUGGGAAUGUUGCUGUGAAGAAGCUACUGAAUCUGCAUGCUUUGCCUGAAAAGCAAUUUCUAGAUGAGAUCACGUGUUUGAAAAAGGCAAAGCACAGGAAUAUAGUAAGAUUUUUAGGCUAUUGUUCAGAAUCCCAGGGAGAAUUGCUUGAGUUCAAUGGAAAAAAUGUAUUGGGAGAGGCGCAACAGAAGUUGCUAUGCUUUGAAUAUCUUCCUAACGGAAACAUUAAGCAUUAUCUUCAAGGAGACAAAUGUCAAGGAGACGACUGGCCUCUACGGUACCAAAUGAUUAGAGGAAUUUGUCAAGGGUUACACUUUCUUCAUGGAAAACUCAUUAACCAUCUUGAUUUGAAACCUGAAAAUGUUAUGUUGGAUGCUCAAAUGGAGCCAAAAAUAACAGAUUUUGGUUUAUCCAGAUACUUGGAUCAAGGACAAUCUAUUAUUACUCAAAACAUACUUGGAACAAUGCGAUAUAUUGCACCAGAAACCAUAGACAAAGGAGAAAUAUCAUUAAAGUCAGAUGUAUACGCUUUGGGCAUUAUUAUCAUAGAACUAUUAACAGGGAUUGACAAGAUAGAUCUUAAUAGUCUGGAUGAUUAUUUAGACAACAUAGACUGCCCACGAGCGAGGAAGUGUGCCGAAAUAGCUCUAAACUGCAAGGACCCUGACAAACAUAACAGACCAACCAUACAUGAAGUAACUCGUGACCUGAAUGAUCUAGAGAACAUGAUUCCAUGGUCUUCCAUAGAAAAGGUCGCCCCCACUGCGUUCCCUGGGACUGAGCUGGUCGAUUUCUACCCUCUCGAGCUCAGGUUCCCCUUCGUGCCAAACCGGAAGAUGCAUUGUGAAAUCAGCCUUACCAACAAGCACACAGAUGCUGGAGUCUGGUUUAUGAUUAUACCUGAAGUUCCGAAUAGGUACCACGGUAGAUUAAGUGGCUUUAUGUCGCCAAUGUAUACAGUAGCUAUCCCAUUGUCCAGGAAAGCUGAAAAGGAUCCUCCCUUAGACGUUGAAAAAUUCGAGGUACUGAUGUUCAUCACAGAUACCGAUGUGGACGUUGUCAAUCAGCAGAUAUCAACAUUAUCUUUUGACGAAGGCGCGUCCAUCGAAGAUGAAAUCAAGGUAACUCAGGAGAUGCUGGGGUUCAAACUGCACCGGGUUAUGUUGACUGCUGUCGUGGUCAUAUCUGAGGAUAACGAUCGAGCUUUAGUGACGAAUGAUAUAGGCUUCGGAAAAGAAGUAACUAUGCAUGUCAGAUCCAUAGAUGUGCAUCCCAGGGAGCCAUGGGUGCUAAUCACUGAAGAUGGAAACCGUAUUCACAUUUGGAACUGGAAGACCAAUGGGAUAAUGGGAAUUCUACCUGGGAAGUCAUGGUCUAAUCUGGAAGGUGGAAAGGUGGGCCCUGAAGAUGUGGUUGCAAAAUUCAUCACUCGAAAGUCAUGGGUUGUAAUGGGGCUCCCAAAUGGGUUCGUCGAUGUGCGAAUGUAUCCCACAAUGGACCUAGUCAAGGAAUUCAGAGCUCACCGUUUAGGUGUCACUUUAUUGGCUGUUCACUCAACUCGUCCGUUCCUGCUGACCUGUGGUUAUCCCCCGUCGAUGAAGCUUUGGGACUGGAACCGCAAUUGGUCUUGUACCGGAAUAUUUGACAUCUCUAUACCCGUGACACAAGUCAUGUUUAACCCCAAGGAUAGUAGCAUUUUCGCUGCCCUUGACAAGGAUGGGGAAGUCAAGGCGUGGAGAAUUGGUCAUCCCGAUCCCAUUGCCACAACAAAAGGAGUAGAAGACUACGAGACUAGCCAACUUUUCACAUACGCUGGUGAUCGGCAUUUCAUUGCUGCUAUUGACGGCGAGGCUGCAUUAAUAUGGGAUAUGCUGAAACAAGAACAUGUCCACACACUCCAGAUUGCAGAAACCACAGAACACAUAAUUGCUACCGUUUGCCACCCAACACAACCGGUGUUAAUCACCAUUUCAAGUGACGGUAGUAUUCGUGUCUGGGACUGCAAUACGUACAGGCUUAAGAAGACCUACAUGCAUUUUCGAAAGGACCCUAGACAUGUUGGAUUUACAGACUCCGGAAGGCUUGUCAUAGGAUGUAGUCAUGGAAUAUCAAUAAUGGAUAUUGAUCUGGAAUGA